This 245-nucleotide ribosomal RNA is filed under the name Salmonella enterica subsp. enterica serovar Derby. It matches the Rfam family "Bacterial large subunit ribosomal RNA", at positions 2706 to 2925 of the family's 2925-position model. The record is from RNAcentral. Lineage: Bacteria; Pseudomonadati; Pseudomonadota; Gammaproteobacteria; Enterobacterales; Enterobacteriaceae.
UCACUGGUGUUCGGGUUGUCAUGCCAAUGGCACUGCCCGGUAGCUAAAUGCGGAAGAGAUAAGUGCUGAAAGCAUCUAAGCACGAAACUUGCCCCGAGAUGAGUUCUCCCUGAGACUUAGAGUCUCCUGAAGGAACGUUGAAGACGACGACGUUGAUAGGCCGGGUGUGUAAGCGCAGCGAUGCGUUGAGCUAACCGGUACUAAUGAACCGUGAGGCUUAACCUUACAACGCCGAAGAUGUUUUG